AAGCAGGCUAACGUCUAUGGCACAAUGUAUCACAGAAACGAAUUUAAGGGAUUAAAAAUGCUUGUCGAAAAAAGUGAGUUUUUAAGUUCUUUUUGAAUACAGGCACCGACUUUGCAUUUUGAAGUUUUUUUGGUAAUGCAUUCCAAAGGAUGGCCGCUGCUUGAUCAAAUCUUCUAUUGCCGUAGGUUUUGGUUCGCACAAUAGGAGUUACGAGUGUUAAGUUGUUUUCAGACCUUAAUGAUCUUGAUGGCCUGUAUAAAUUUACAAGUUCACUAAGAUAUAAUGGCGCUUCAUGUUUCACGGACUUGAAUACAUAUAAUAAUAUUUUGUAUUGCACCCUGUAUUGCACAGGCAGCCAGUGAAGAGACUCAAGUGUCGAAGUAAUGUGUUCGUAUUUCUUUUUUCUUGUAACCACUCGCGCAGCAGUGUUCUGAACCCUUUGUAGUCUCUGAAUCAUGUAAGCUGGUAGUCCAUAAAGUAAAGCGUUGCCAUAAUCCAAUCUAGAAAUAAUUAACGAAUUGACCAGAGUUUUACAUGCAUCCUCGUUGAUGUACGGACGUAUGCGGCCUAUAUUUCGUAUUUGAUAAAAACAUGAUCUCGAAACUGAACUGACUUGUUGGUGCAUUGAC
Molecule: long non-coding RNA, 629 nt
Filed under: Mytilus galloprovincialis (Mediterranean mussel)
Lineage: Eukaryota; Metazoa; Mollusca; Bivalvia; Mytilida; Mytilidae
Source: RNAcentral